UACAGAGGGUGCGAGCGUUAAUCGGAAUUACUGGGCGUAAAGGGCGCGUAGGCGGUUAUGAAAGUUGGAUGUGAAAUCCCCGAGCUUAACUUGGGAACGGCAUCUAAUACUACAUGGCUAGAGUAGAAUAGAGGGGAGUGGAAUUUCCGGUGUAGCGGUGAAAUGCGUAGAUAUCGGAAAGAACACCAGUGGCGAAGGCGGCUUCCUGGAUUCAUACUGACGCUGAGGCGCGAAAGCGUGGGGAGCAAACAGG
This 253-nucleotide ribosomal RNA is filed under the name uncultured bacterium. RNAcentral's name for it is "partial 16S ribosomal RNA". It matches the Rfam family "Bacterial small subunit ribosomal RNA", at positions 524 to 776 of the family's 1533-position model. The record is from RNAcentral.